GAUGAACGCUGGCGGCGUGCCUAAUACAUGCAAGUCGAGCGAACGGACGAGAAGCUUGCUUCUCUGAUGUUAGCGGCGGACGGGUGAGUAACACGUGGAUAACCUACCUAUAAGACUGGGAUAACUUCGGGAAACCGGAGCUAAUACCGGAUAAUAUUUUGAACCGCAUGGUUCAAAAGUGAAAGACGGUCUUGCUGUCACUUAUAGAUGGAUCCGCGCUGCAUUAGCUAGUUGGUAAGGUAACGGCUUACCAAGGCAACGAUGCAUAGCCGACCUGAGAGGGUGAUCGGCCACACGGAACUGAGACACGGUCCAGACUCCUGCGGGAGGCAGCAGUAGGGAAUCUUCCGCAAUGGGCGAAAGCCUGACGGAGCAACGCCGCGUGAGUGAUGAAGGUCUUCGGAUCGUAAAACUCUGUUAUUAGGGAAGAACAUAUGUGUAAGUAACUGUGCACAUCUUGACGGUACCUAAUCAGAAAGCCACGGCUAACUACGUG
RNAcentral lists this ribosomal RNA (496 nucleotides) under uncultured bacterium. Its description in RNAcentral is "partial 16S ribosomal RNA". It matches the Rfam family "Bacterial small subunit ribosomal RNA", at positions 28 to 507 of the family's 1533-position model. The record is from RNAcentral.